AUUGAACGCUGGCGGCAUGCUUUACACAUGCAAGUCGAACGGCAGCGCGGGCCUCGGCCUGGCGGCGAGUGGCGAACGGGUGAGUAAUGCAUCGGAACGUGCCCAGUAGUGGGGGAUAGCCCGGCGAAAGCCGGAUUAAUACCGCAUACGACCUGAGGGUGAAAGCGGGGGACCGAAAGGCCUCGCGCUAUUGGAGCGGCCGAUGUCGGAUUAGCUAGUUGGUGGGGUAAAGGCUUACCAAGGCGACGAUCCGUAGCUGGUCUGAGAGGACGACCAGCCACACUGGGACUGAGACACGGCCCAGACUCCUACGGGAGGCAGCAGUGGGGAAUUUUGGACAAUGGGGGCAACCCUGAUCCAGCCAUGCCGCGUGCGGGAAGAAGGCCUUCGGGUUGGAAACCGCUUUUGUUCGGGAAGAAAUCCUCUGGGCUAAUACCCCGGGGGGAUGACGGUACCGGAAGAAUAAGCACCGGCUAACUACGUGC
RNAcentral lists this ribosomal RNA (485 nucleotides) under uncultured bacterium. RNAcentral's name for it is "partial 16S ribosomal RNA". It matches the Rfam family "Bacterial small subunit ribosomal RNA", at positions 28 to 508 of the family's 1533-position model. The record is from RNAcentral.